This 148-nucleotide non-coding RNA is filed under the name Pan paniscus (pygmy chimpanzee). The record is from Rfam by way of RNAcentral. Lineage: Eukaryota; Metazoa; Chordata; Mammalia; Primates; Hominidae. RNAcentral also lists the same sequence under 1 other name.
GCUGGGUGUGGUGUCGCGCGCCUGUAAUCCCAGCUACUCGGGAGGCUGAGGUGGGAUAAUCGCUUGAACCUGGGAGGCAGAGGUUGCAGUGAGCCGAGAUUGUGCCACUGCACUCCAGCCCGGGCAACAGAGUGAGAUUCCAUCCCCU